AGAGAGGGUGUGGAGCACGGGUGUACCAAAGGUUUUAUAUAUGCUAUAAAGCAGAGGAUUGGGGCCGCCAUAGAAAAUGCACGAACAAACGACAUCGAGAACGAGACACCCAUGGACGGUGCAGGCACCCAUGAGGGCCCAGGGAGCCUUUGCACUCUUUUGCCGUGCCGCCUGGCCGGCCUGCCAGCGGUUGGGAGGGCGGCAAAACUGACAAAUGGGGGGAUUGCCACUGCGAGAUGUUCCGCGGUGUUCGCAUGCUUGAGAGGUGGCAGAGAUGCGUUGAAGGACAUGGAGGGGGCUGGUGUAUGCACCAUACCAUUGGGGGACGGGGACGCGGGACAGGAGGGUGAAUGCAUCGGAGUGACAGGAAGGACUCU
This 377-nucleotide long non-coding RNA is filed under the name Androctonus crassicauda. The record is from RNAcentral. Lineage: Eukaryota; Metazoa; Arthropoda; Arachnida; Scorpiones; Buthidae.